UCUAUGGUUGGGCAUAGACGUAUGAUAGACGUCAAAUAAUUUAUUAAUAUUGCAGGCAUUCCAUUUACUAAACUAAUUAAUUAUUAUAUUAUUUUCGCUUUCGUAGUGAUUUUCCCAAGAAUGAAUAAGUAUGAAUCAUUAGAUCAAUACUGUUAAACAAGAGAUACAGUGAUUUGACCAUUUGUACAUCAGAAAAUGGCUCUUCCCUCAAAUUAUAAACAAGCAGCAGUGUCAAUGUCUGGACCUCAAACUCCAAAUCGUUCCCCAAUGACCUUCAACAUACUCAAAGAAAGACUUCGUGCCUCAGGAGGAUCUAGUAC
RNAcentral lists this long non-coding RNA (320 nucleotides) under Agrilus planipennis (emerald ash borer). RNAcentral's name for it is "uncharacterized LOC108737231, transcript variant X2". Lineage: Eukaryota; Metazoa; Arthropoda; Insecta; Coleoptera; Buprestidae. The record is from RNAcentral.